RNAcentral lists this ribosomal RNA (219 nucleotides) under uncultured bacterium. RNAcentral describes it as "partial 16S ribosomal RNA". It matches the Rfam family "Bacterial small subunit ribosomal RNA", at positions 1282 to 1500 of the family's 1533-position model. The record is from RNAcentral.
AUGGUCCCAGUUCGGAUCGUAGGCUGCAACCCGCCUGCGUGAAGUUGGAAUUGCUAGUAAUCGCGGAUCAGCAUGCCGCGGUGAAUACGUUCCCGGGCCUUGUACACACCGCCCGUCACACCAUGGGAGCCGGUAAUGCCCGAAGUCAGUAGCCUAACCGCAAGGAGGGCGCUGCCGAAGGUAGGAUUGGCGACUGGGGUGAAGUCGUAACAAGGUAUC